This 2500-nucleotide ribosomal RNA is filed under the name Escherichia sp. MOD1-EC6162. RNAcentral describes it as "bacterial LSU rRNA". It matches the Rfam family "Bacterial large subunit ribosomal RNA", at positions 324 to 2812 of the family's 2925-position model. The record is from RNAcentral. Lineage: Bacteria; Pseudomonadati; Pseudomonadota; Gammaproteobacteria; Enterobacterales; Enterobacteriaceae.
GUGUGUUAGUGGAAGCGUCUGGAAAGGCGUGCGAUACAGGGUGACAGCCCCGUACACAAAAAUGCACAUGCUGUGAGCUCGAUGAGUAGGGCGGGACACGUGGUAUCCUGUCUGAAUAUGGGGGGACCAUCCUCCAAGGCUAAAUACUCCUGACUGACCGAUAGUGAACCAGUACCGUGAGGGAAAGGCGAAAAGAACCCCGGCGAGGGGAGUGAAAAAGAACCUGAAACCGUGUACGUACAAGCAGUGGGAGCCUCUUUAUGGGGUGACUGCGUACCUUUUGUAUAAUGGGUCAGCGACUUAUAUUCUGUAGCAAGGUUAACCGAAUAGGGGAGCCGAAGGGAAACCGAGUCUUAACUGGGCGUUAAGUUGCAGGGUAUAGACCCGAAACCCGGUGAUCUAGCCAUGGGCAGGUUGAAGGUUGGGUAACACUAACUGGAGGACCGAACCGACUAAUGUUGAAAAAUUAGCGGAUGACUUGUGGCUGGGGGUGAAAGGCCAAUCAAACCGGGAGAUAGCUGGUUCUCCCCGAAAGCUAUUUAGGUAGCGCCUCGUGAAUUCAUCUCCGGGGGUAGAGCACUGUUUCGGCAAGGGGGUCAUCCCGACUUACCAACCCGAUGCAAACUGCGAAUACCGGAGAAUGUUAUCACGGGAGACACACGGCGGGUGCUAACGUCCGUCGUGAAGAGGGAAACAACCCAGACCGCCAGCUAAGGUCCCAAAGUCAUGGUUAAGUGGGAAACGAUGUGGGAAGGCCCAGACAGCCAGGAUGUUGGCUUAGAAGCAGCCAUCAUUUAAAGAAAGCGUAAUAGCUCACUGGUCGAGUCGGCCUGCGCGGAAGAUGUAACGGGGCUAAACCAUGCACCGAAGCUGCGGCAGCGACACUAUGUGUUGUUGGGUAGGGGAGCGUUCUGUAAGCCGUUGAAGGUGUGCUGUGAGGCAUGCUGGAGGUAUCAGAAGUGCGAAUGCUGACAUAAGUAACGAUAAAGCGGGUGAAAAGCCCGCUCGCCGGAAGACCAAGGGUUCCUGUCCAACGUUAAUCGGGGCAGGGUGAGUCGACCCCUAAGGCGAGGCCGAAAGGCGUAGUCGAUGGGAAACAGGUUAAUAUUCCUGUACUUGGUGUUACUGCGAAGGGGGGACGGAGAAGGCUAUGUUGGCCGGGCGACGGUUGUCCCGGUUUAAGCGUGUAGGCUGAUUUUCCAGGCAAAUCCGGAGAAUCAAGGCUGAGGCGUGAUGACGAGGCACUACGGUGCUGAAGCAACAAAUGCCCUGCUUCCAGGAAAAGCCUCUAAGCAUCAGGUAACAUCAAAUCGUACCCCAAACCGACACAGGUGGUCAGGUAGAGAAUACCAAGGCGCUUGAGAGAACUCGGGUGAAGGAACUAGGCAAAAUGGUGCCGUAACUUCGGGAGAAGGCACGCUGAUAUGUAGGUGAAGCGACUUGCUCGUGGAGCUGAAAUCAGUCGAAGAUACCAGCUGGCUGCAACUGUUUAUUAAAAACACAGCACUGUGCAAACACGAAAGUGGACGUAUACGGUGUGACGCCUGCCCGGUGCCGGAAGGUUAAUUGAUGGGGUCAGCCGCAAGGCGAAGCUCUUGAUCGAAGCCCCGGUAAACGGCGGCCGUAACUAUAACGGUCCUAAGGUAGCGAAAUUCCUUGUCGGGUAAGUUCCGACCUGCACGAAUGGCGUAAUGAUGGCCAGGCUGUCUCCACCCGAGACUCAGUGAAAUUGAACUCGCUGUGAAGAUGCAGUGUACCCGCGGCAAGACGGAAAGACCCCGUGAACCUUUACUAUAGCUUGACACUGAACAUUGAGCCUUGAUGUGUAGGAUAGGUGGGAGGCUUUGAAGUGUGGACGCCAGUCUGCAUGGAGCCGACCUUGAAAUACCACCCUUUAAUGUUUGAUGUUCUAACGUGGACCCGUGAUCCGGGUUGCGGACAGUGUCUGGUGGGUAGUUUGACUGGGGCGGUCUCCUCCUAAAGAGUAACGGAGGAGCACGAAGGUUGGCUAAUCCUGGUCGGACAUCAGGAGGUUAGUGCAAUGGCAUAAGCCAGCUUGACUGCGAGCGUGACGGCGCGAGCAGGUGCGAAAGCAGGUCAUAGUGAUCCGGUGGUUCUGAAUGGAAGGGCCAUCGCUCAACGGAUAAAAGGUACUCCGGGGAUAACAGGCUGAUACCGCCCAAGAGUUCAUAUCGACGGCGGUGUUUGGCACCUCGAUGUCGGCUCAUCACAUCCUGGGGCUGAAGUAGGUCCCAAGGGUAUGGCUGUUCGCCAUUUAAAGUGGUACGCGAGCUGGGUUUAGAACGUCGUGAGACAGUUCGGUCCCUAUCUGCCGUGGGCGCUGGAGAACUGAGGGGGGCUGCUCCUAGUACGAGAGGACCGGAGUGGACGCAUCACUGGUGUUCGGGUUGUCAUGCCAAUGGCACUGCCCGGUAGCUAAAUGCGGAAGAGAUAAGUGCUGAAAGCAUCUAAGCACGAAACUUGCCCCGAGAUGAGUUCU